This 267-nucleotide unclassified non-coding RNA is filed under the name plant metagenome. RNAcentral's name for it is "partial contains small subunit ribosomal RNA, internal transcribed spacer 1, and 5.8S ribosomal RNA". The record is from RNAcentral.
CGUAGGUGAACCUGCGGAAGGAUCAUUAAUGAGUUGUCAUGGGGUUCGAUGCUGGCAGCCAGUUUUUGGAUGCAUGUGCUGCCCUAACAAUCAUCUUCUUCCAAACACCUGUGCACAUUUUUGAGGGAGUCUUGAGUUGGUUGCCGCUCUUGGGUGAUUUUCUCACAUUCCCUUAAAUCAUUAUACGCUAUUAACAAUGUUGAACGUGCUCUGUGCCGCAAGGCCAUUAAUAUAAUACAACUUUUAACAACGGAUCUCUUGGCUCUC